GACUAUAUGGUGCAGCCGACUGGUGGAAGAGAUGAGGCUGAGAGGACACGAAAGGCUUAUGGAAAGACAGUAGGAGCAAGGGAAGAGCAGAGGGGCUUAUCUCAUGUAAGGGCUUCUUGUCACCUGAACUAUGGUUGAAGUUCCCUCAUAGCACACAGCCGCUGGUCAUAAUUCUACCCAGGCAUUUCUGUGCGCACAUUUUCCUGCUGCACUUGCAUAUCAAGAAGCAUUUCAGACCACGGGAAUGCAGGAUUCCAAGGCACCAAUUUACCUUGGAAUUUGAAAAGAUGAUAGAAACGAUGUUAGACAGAAAGAAAACUCGAGUGAUUUUCUUAUUUGAGUUCAAAAUGGGUCGUAAAGUAGUGGAGACAACUCUCAAAAUCAACAACGCAUUUGGUCCAAGAACUGCUAACGAACGUACAGUGCAGUGGUGGUUCAAGAAGUUUUGCAAAGGAGAGGAGAGCCUUGAAGACAAGGAACAUAGUAGUUGGCUAUCGGAAGUUGACAAUGACCAACUGAGAGCAACCAUGGAAGCUGAUCCUCUUACAACUGUGUGAGAAGUUGCCAAGGAACUCAGCAUUGACCAUUCUAGAGUCGUUCAGCAUUUGAAGUAAAUUGGGAAGGUGAAAAAGCUGGAUAAGUGGAUGCCUCAUGAGCUGAGUGAAAAUUUAAAAAAAAAAAAUUGUCAUUUUGAAGUGUCAUCUUCUCUUAUUCUACACAACAACAAAUCAUUUCUCGAUCAGAUUGUGACUUCCAAUGUAACAUGGAUUUUAUAUGACAACCGGUGAUGACCAGCUCAGUGGCUAGACCAAGAAGCUCCAAAGCACUUCCCAAAGCCAAAUUUGGACCAAAAAAAUGUCAUGUUCACUGUUUGGUGGUCUGCUGCUGGUCUGAUCCACUAUUGCUUUCUGAAUCCCAGCAAAACCAUUACAUCUGAUAAGUAUGCUCAGCAGUUCAAAGAGAUGCACUGAAAACUUCAACCCUUGCAGUCAUCUUUGCUCAACAGAAAGGGCUCAAUUCUCCACAACAAUGCAUGACUGCACAUCACACAACUAAAGCUUCAGAAGUUGAACAAACUGGGCUACGAAGUUUUGCCUCACCCACCAUAUUCACCUGACCUCUCGCCAACCGACUACCACUUCUUUAAGCAUCUCAGCAACUUUUUGUAAGGAAAACACUUCCACAACCAGUAGAAUGCAGAAAGUGCUUUCCAAGAGUUCAUUGAAUCCUGAAGCACGGAUUUUUAUGCUACAGGAAUAAACAAACUUAUUUUUCAUUGGUAAAAAUGUAUUGAUUGUAAUGUUUCCUAUUUUGAUUAAUAAAGAUGUGUUUGAGCCUAGUUAUAAUGAUUUAAAAUUCAUGAUCCAAAACCGCGAUUAUUUUUGCACCAGCCAAAUAUGAGGGAGUAAUAGUUGCACAGAACAGUUCUUUCCUGGAAGUCGGGCAUUUUGCCUAGGGGGAAGGAUCAUUAAAAAUUUAAACAUUUUAAUAAAACCAUUAGAACAAA
This is a long non-coding RNA of Mandrillus leucophaeus (drill), 1507 nucleotides long. RefSeq lists it as uncharacterized. NCBI's taxonomy places the organism in Eukaryota, Metazoa, Chordata, Mammalia, Primates, Cercopithecidae. The transcript has 3 exons. The record is from RefSeq and is a predicted model, not a curated record.